CCCAGGUCCACCAGCUCAGCAGUCACUUCAACAUCUUUGCCUUCUCCCUGAAGAAGCCCAGUGCCGACUGACAGGAAGAGGAGCGAAUCGGCUUGACGGCAGCGGAGGUUUAGACCCUCCCACCUCCAUCUGAAGCCAACCGACACUUCACUCUCAUCACCACCUCCCUCCCUCCCCCACCAAACCACACACACACCCCCCACUAGCCCCCCUCCUGGACAGUGUCAGUUUGGGGGGGGGGUGGUCCUCAGGACUUGAGAGGCCAAACCCCGGGCUCUGGGUUCCGUGGCUGUUGAUAGGUUGAGCCGAUGAGCCAAUGAGAUGUUGUUUCCUACGGAAAUGUUCUUCAGCCGACAGGACAGGUUCCCAGACCCCGUCCCCACAUGCGCACACACACACACACACACACACACACACACACACAGCUUACAGACACAUCACACUUGACACUUUACUCUUGAACGGUUUAAACACACAACAACACACUCACCCACAUGUAUACUCUUAUGAAUGUACAGGAUGUUAUUGCCUUGGGGAAAUGAUGUCUCGGUUAGUUUGACAGACUGCCCCACUCCUGACCUCUCAACCCUGCAGUCUGCCCGUCAGUCGCCGCGUGCCCAUUUUAUCCAGGGUAUGGAAGGCGGAGUCUAAGCUAGGAUCUGGUAUUUGAUUUGAACGACUGAGAGUCUUUAUAUGGGAACUUUAUUAUUAUUAUUAUUAUUGGGCUUUUUAUUUAGAAAGAAAUUUGAAGAAAUUGAUGGUUAAUGUAAUGGUUAUCUGACCCUUGGUGAUGAUGGUUACCCGUGUUGACUGUGAGGCUGGAUCUGGCCAAUCAGGGCACUUUGGGAGAGGGACAGAGGGUGAAAACACCCAAUCACGGACCUCGCUCAACGUGGGCUCCAGAAUGACCCCUGACCUGUGAACAAUAGUGACCCCUGACCUCUGCAGCCAGAACUAUGACCUCCAGACUCUUCCCACCUCUGAGGUGUCGUCGUGGCAACAGGCCGAUUCGCAGUCAAGUUUUUAAUUUUUUUUUAUUUGCUCUGUGUUCCUUCAUCUCUGAUAGCUGGGGAUGUGUGUUUGUGUGUGUGAGCCUGCGUGCGUUUGCUACCAAUGAAUGAAGAGUGCGUCUGAAAGCCGUCAGUGGAUUAGGCGUACUCUGAGGGUAUUGGCGGCCACAGGAGAAACCAUGACGACCACGACCACACCCCCAACAACUGUCUGUUAGUCUACCACCUGGUGUACACCUGUCUCUGUCUGUCUGUCUUAUGGCGUCCUAAAUGACACCCUAUUUUUCAUCAUAAUGUGCACUCUUAAGGAGUCUAGGUAGUAGAAGUGCACUACAUGGGGAAUAGGGCACCUAUUGUUUGUUUAACACUGGUUCAAUUAGUUCAGAUGUCAUUUAGACCAAAGGAGGUAUCCUGAUUGGCCUUUAGUGACAUCACAACAAUGACGCCAUAGAUAUGUUAACUGGAGGUGUGUGCGCGUGUGUGUGUGUGAGUGUGUGCGUGUGCUUGUUUGUGAGUGUGUACAUGUACAUUUGUUUGGAUGUUAAAUUAAUGUCUGUAUAAAUAUAUCAUUAUUUUCUUUUGUUUUUUUUUAAGUAAAACUUUAAAUAAUGGAGAUGUGAAUCUGGAACUCCUCUGAACGGGACCAGGUUGGGACGAGAUCAUGUGAACUGGCCUUGUUUCCAUGAUAGGGCGCUACCAAUGAUGUGAACUCUGUCAGCCAUGUGUCUUUGGCCUAAAGUAGUCCUCCUUGUAAAGAUACCGGCCCAAUGUCUCGGUACUGGUUAUCCUCUAUGUAGAGAAACUGGCCCAGUGUCUCUGUACCGGUUAUCCUCUAUGUAGAGAUACCGGGCCAGUGUCUCGGUACCGGUUAUCCUCCCUCACUGGAGACAGAUGGGUCCAAGUGCCCUGGAUCAAUCUGCUCGGAGUCUGUCUGUAGAGUUCUUUAUUGUAAUAGAAGCCUCUGAGUCUGUCAUAGGAUGUGGUUACUAAACACAUUGAUAAUGAUUUUGUGUUGAAUGUGUAAAAAAGCAAAACAAAGGCCUGUUUAAAUUAAUAAAGUUGAUUUUUGUUGAUCCAUUCUACCAGAACACACAGCUUUCCAGUACUGUACCACUAGAGAAGUAGUGUUUCC
Esox lucius (northern pike) is the source of this 2142-nucleotide long non-coding RNA. NCBI's taxonomy places the organism in Eukaryota, Metazoa, Chordata, Actinopteri, Esociformes, Esocidae. The record is from Ensembl.